CCUANGGGUGGCUGCAGUCGAGAAUCUUCGGCAAUGGGCGCAAGCCUGACCGAGCGACGCCGCGUGUGGGAUGAAGGCCUUCGGGUUGUAAACCACUGUCAGAGGGGAUGAAAUGCAGGUGGGUUCUCCCAUCUGUUUGACAUAGCCUCAGAGGAAGGACGGGCUAAGUUCGUGCCAGCAGCCGCGGUAAGACGAACCGUCCGAACGUUAUUCGGAAUCACUGGGCUUAAAGGGUGCGUAGGCGGCGCGGAAAGUUGGGUGUGAAAUCCCUCGGCUCAACCGAGGAACUGCGCCCAAAACUGCCGUGCUCGAGGGAGAUAGAGGUGAGCGGAACUUAGGGUGGAGCGGUGAAAUGCGUUGAUAUCCUAAGGAACACCGGUGGCGAAAGCGGCUCACUGGAUCUCUUCUGACGCUGAGGCACGAAAGCUAGGGUAGCGAACGGGAUUAGAUACCCUUNUANUC
Molecule: ribosomal RNA, 462 nt
Filed under: uncultured bacterium
Lineage: Bacteria
Description: bacterial SSU rRNA
Rfam family: Bacterial small subunit ribosomal RNA
Source: RNAcentral